GACGAACGCUGGCGGCGUGCUUAACACAUGCAAGUCGAACGGAAAGGCCCUGCUUUUGUGGGGUGCUCGAGUGGCGAACGGGUGAGUAACACGUGAGUAACCUGCCCUUGACUUUGGGAUAACUUCAGGAAACUGGGGCUAAUACCGGAUAUGAGCUCCUGCUGCAUGGUGGGGGUUGGAGAGUUUGGGCGGUUGGGGAUGGACUCGCGGCUUAUCAGCUUGUUGGUGGGGUAGUGGCUUACCACGGCUUUGACGGGUAGCCGGCCUGAGAGGGUGACCGGCCAAAUUGGGACUGAGAUACGGCCCAGACUCCUACGGGAGGCAGCAGUGGGGAAUAUUGCACAAUGGGCGGAAGCCUGAUGCAGCAACGCCGCGUGCGGGAUGACGGCCUUCGGGUUGUAAACCGCUUUCGCCUGUGACGAAGCGUGAGUGACGGUAAUGGGUAAAGAAGCACCGGCUAACUACGUG
This 468-nucleotide ribosomal RNA is filed under the name uncultured bacterium. RNAcentral's name for it is "partial 16S ribosomal RNA". It matches the Rfam family "Bacterial small subunit ribosomal RNA", at positions 28 to 507 of the family's 1533-position model. The record is from RNAcentral.